Molecule: transfer RNA, 90 nt
Filed under: Chloroflexota bacterium
Lineage: Bacteria; Bacillati; Chloroflexota
Description: Chloroflexi bacterium tRNA-Ser
Rfam family: tRNA
About the family: Transfer RNA (tRNA) molecules are approximately 80 nucleotides in length.
Source: RNAcentral
GGGGAGGUGCCAGAGUGGACGAUUGGGGCUGCCUGCUAAGCAGUUGCACCGCUAAUAGUGGUGCCGCAGGUUCGAAUCCUGUCCUCCCCG